Molecule: long non-coding RNA, 364 nt
Organism: Humulus lupulus (European hop)
Lineage: Eukaryota; Viridiplantae; Streptophyta; Magnoliopsida; Rosales; Cannabaceae
Exons: 3
Source: RefSeq, a predicted model, not a curated record
UUGUAGCUUUGGAGAACAGCACUACUCACACACCUUUAAGCUCAUCACAGUGUUCUUGCAUGAAGCAAGUCAUGCUAUUGCUUGCAAACUCACAUGUGGUCAUGUGGAGGGAAUCCAAGUCCAUGCAAAUGAGGGUGGCGUCACACAAACGCGUGGUGGUGUAUAUUGGUUGAUAUUACCUGCAGGAUAUCUUGGCUCAUCAUUCUGGUGAAUGACUUUGAUACUCGCAUCAACAAAUCUCCUCACUGCGAGAAUUGCUGCUGGUUGUUUAAUUGUUGCUCUAUUUGUGGUGUUCUGUAUUGCUAAAAACGUAAGAUUGCUAUUUCAUAUAUUUCAGUGUUGAGAAAUGCAAACAUUAUUGCAU